AAUGAGAUAGUUCAGUUUGGUAGAACCUCGGACUCAUAAAUCGAUGGUCGGGGGUUCGAAUCCCCCUCUCAUUA
Transfer RNA from Bathycoccus prasinos, 74 nucleotides. It matches the Rfam family "tRNA". Rfam says of the family: Transfer RNA (tRNA) molecules are approximately 80 nucleotides in length. NCBI's taxonomy places the organism in Eukaryota, Viridiplantae, Chlorophyta, Mamiellophyceae, Mamiellales, Bathycoccaceae. The record is from Rfam.